This 953-nucleotide long non-coding RNA is filed under the name Helianthus annuus (common sunflower). RNAcentral describes it as "hypothetical non coding rna". The record is from RNAcentral. Lineage: Eukaryota; Viridiplantae; Streptophyta; Magnoliopsida; Asterales; Asteraceae.
GGUGUGCAUUGUCACCUCCACAAGUCUUUAACAGAGAUAGGGUUAAAGAAAUAUACGGAGUUCAAGUCGAAUCUGCGGUUACAAUCGAGCUUUCAGACUCCGUCAAUUCCAGUCAAGCGUCACACUAUGCGUUAGAUUUAUUCGCUACGUAGCAAUCUAGUUAACUACAGUAAUAUAAGGUUAGCUAAACGUACCCUUUUGGAAUUUUCAUCAAAACCUUGCAGGAAAUAUUAAAUCCAUGGGAUUUAUUUUUACUGUAAAAAGAGCGAAUAUUAAUGAUUUGACAAUGAAGGGAGGGUACGUUUAGCAGAACCCAAUUCUAAUUCGUGUUAAGGAGUUCUUCAAUCAUUUGCAACGCGAUUUUAUCCUCUUCUUCACUGUCUCUAAUCCGACAAUUUUCAACAACGUCAAUUUCCCCUUGGAUCUUGGCUUUGGUCUUCCCAAGCUCGACGGUCAUGACCCAGUUGGAACCCGAAUGAAUUCCAGCCCGUUUCUGCCACACUCCGAUAUGAGAACUCUCCGUGUCAAGCCUGAGACAGGUCAGCGACGGUGAAGGCGCCUUACAGCAUUUUCUUAGCUUCGCGCUUAACAUCGUAGAAAGAGCCGAAGCUGGCGUAGCCUGUGAUUGUGUGUUUCCAUCUGCUGCUUCUGUUUUGACAAUUGGAAAAUUUGUUUUGGCAUUAUGACCACUCAUUAGAAUAGCGGCUUCAUCGUACGCUCUGGCGGCUUCUUCUGCUGUUUCAAACGUCCCUAGCCACACUCUUCUUUUCCUAUAUGUUUAUACAGAAAGUUAAAUGGUUAAAAUAUGUAUUAAAAGAAAAAUAUAUGUAUGUAUGUAUGUAUGUAUGUAUGUAUGUAUGUAUGAAGACUAGAUUGAGAGGGUACAUACAGUAAAGGGUGUCGGAUUUCGGAAACCCAUGAACCCCAGUGGCGUUGUCAGAGAUAUGAAGUGA